RNAcentral lists this ribosomal RNA (255 nucleotides) under uncultured bacterium. RNAcentral describes it as "partial 16S ribosomal RNA". It matches the Rfam family "Bacterial small subunit ribosomal RNA", at positions 524 to 776 of the family's 1533-position model. The record is from RNAcentral.
GACGUAGGGCGCGGAGCGUUGUCCGGAUUUAUUGGGCGUAAAGAGCUCGUAGGCGGCUUGUCGCGUCGACUGUGAAAACCCGCAGCCUUAACUGCGGGACUGCAGUCGAUACGGGCAGGCUAGAGUUCGGUAGGGGAGACUGGAAUUCCUGGUGUAGCGGUGAAAUGCGCAGAUAUCAGGAGGAACACCGGUGGCGAAGGCGGGUCUCUGGGCCGAUACUGACGCUGAGGAGCGAAAGCGUGGGGAGCGAACAGG